UUCCCAUUCGACCAGAGCACUAGACCGACUGCCCCCAGGCCCCCACCCCUACUAACCCUAGCGGCGGCGCGCGGCGGCCCAGCACACGGCAGCACCAGAGGCGCGCGGCGGCCAGGCAACGGUUGCGGCCCGCGGUCGGGCUCGGAGCCAGGCGGUGGCGCAACGCGCGCGGCGUUGCCUGUGCGGUCGGGCUCGCCGGCUCGUGGGUCGGGGGCGGCGGCGCCUGCAGACCUGGGCACCUGGCUCAGAGGGCCACACGACCACACUGCAGCUUGACCGGCGGCGGCGCAGCUGCGCGCGCAGGCCAGGAGACGCAGCCGCAGCGCCCCUGUUUGCUUUGCUUCCUCUUCAGCUCUUCCAUUUCUUCAACGAUUCGGAGAAAAGAAAGCGGGCGAUGCAGGCGAAGAAGCUGACGCUGCUGCAGACGGUAGCGGCAGCUGGAGUCUUCUCCGCCGUUUCCUGCUGGUAUGGCUUCAUGUUUGGGAGGGAGUCCGCGCGGCGAGAGCUUGGUGGCAUCAUAGACGAGCUCCGCAAGUCCACCACCACCUCGACCACUUCCUCUGAACCCGAUGCUAAUUCCAAGCCAUAGUAUGGUAUGCUCCUUCCCCACUCUAAAUGUGGUCAAUUUUGUUUGUGGAUCUUGUAAGGUAGAUGGAGUAACCAGUCUUGGAGAUGUUUUUUUAUCGACUGUUAGUUUUGCUACUUUUGCCCCCUCCAAAAUGUGCAAUUCAGCUUGAACAUCUAUUUAGUUUGGUUGAGGGGACAGUUAGACAGUAUAUUGAUGGCAAAAUUGGCUGCUGGACACUGAAAAAAGGUGGCUUUUGCCACAAGCCAUUAAAAAAGGUUGGCUUAGCUACAACAUACUACAAUUCAGUGCCCAAAUCACAUCUAUCGGACUCGCUGGCUCCCUGCAGCAGGCCUGGCCCUCGGCAGGCGACGACGCCGACCGCCAGAGGAGCACAGGGAACGGAGUACGAAAUGAGCAGACGAGCACAGGGAGGCCACUUGAACUCUAGGGACGAGGCUUACUGCCACCAGGCAAGUCAAGGUCUAUCGCUUGGCUUGUUGCAACCGGGCACGAGAUGUAGGUUUUCCAAGGGGAAAUUGAAAUCCGGGCAGGUCACGCUGCAAAAACUUUGGUCUCGUUUUGCAAAGAAAGAAGAAAUUCAAUUCUGAAAGACGAACUAUCCUGCAACCGCAAGCGGCAAGCCUAUCGUUUGAUUCUUGAUCCAAGUAGCCCAGAGAGCAGCCGCAGCACAAACAUGUAGGCGGCGUCUUCGGUAGUAGUUUGCAGGCGCCGGCCUGUGCGAACCCGCCGCGGAUGGGCGCGACACUGAUCGUCGGUCCGUUCUGUGCAGGUGGACGGGGCUCUGGCUGCCGCCCCUGAGUGGCACGGCUCUGGGUGCCGCACGGACGAGUGCGGCCCCAAUGCCGAACGCCCUCUGCAACGUGGUCGGGAAUAGGUCGUCAGAGCAGGAGAGGGGCGGCCGCCGGGGAUCGCCGGAGCCAGCAGAGGAGCGGCUGCAGGUGUAUUUUGGGGUGGAAGGAAUUGAGAUAAGGGAUCCAGGUCUGCAGUGCCAAGAACAAGAUUGUGUGUUCAUCAUGAAUGAUCUGGUUGGCAAUUAGAAGUGUUCGCCAAGGAGAAAGAUUGUAAGAUGCAGCUAUACUUAUGUUUGGAGGGUUUCUGUUUUACUGAGGCCACAUUUUGAAUUUAAAGAAACGGAAGAUGAUAUUGCUGGGUUUGUGGCGAGAAUACCCGUUCUUUCCCUUAUUAACGAUAUGUUGCGCAGAUGUCUUCACAGAUAUAUAGCAGAACUGCUGAUAUGUGAUUAGUUCAUUCACGUUAUUAACUUAUUAUUGGGCUCAUAUCA
This is an RNA transcript of Panicum virgatum (switchgrass), 1871 nucleotides long. RefSeq lists it as uncharacterized. Lineage: Eukaryota; Viridiplantae; Streptophyta; Magnoliopsida; Poales; Poaceae. The record is from RefSeq and is a predicted model, not a curated record. The transcript has 6 exons.